Molecule: long non-coding RNA, 592 nt
Filed under: Sus scrofa (pig)
Lineage: Eukaryota; Metazoa; Chordata; Mammalia; Artiodactyla; Suidae
Description: lncRNA (ENSSSCG00005037433.1)
Source: RNAcentral
UUCUCUUUGCUCCUUCAUAUUUAGCUAAGGGUUUCAAUAGCAACAAAACUUCAGAGGCUGUGGAAACUGCUUAGUGAAGGUGCUGAUCUAGUGUGCCAAGGGAAACAAAACCACACAGUCUAGUCAAUAGAGUUUCAUUCAACUUCCUGUUCCUUUCCAGGGGAUGAAACACCAGAGUGCCAUGCAACUAAUACCAGAGACUUUAAUUCUUAUUUUUAAACACCUAAGUGAAGUGACGACCCUGAAUUGAAGUCUCUACAAAAUAUACAUCACCUUCCAAUGUCAGGGCAAUAAGAACUCUCGGGACAGCCAGUUGAUUUCAGCAACCCUUGACAUCUGGAAGAAGAUGGUUACAGUAUUGAAGCUGGUGGAGCAUAUAAGGUAAGAGAGAGAAGUCAUUCUGUCUGUGCACCAGAGUCACCUCUGGAGAAGAACUAAUGUUAAAUGCAAUGCUGAGGUAUAAACACAGUGAUUAGUCCUGAGGUAUAAAUGCAAAGCUAUCCUAAACCAGAGAUCAGAAAAUAUGUUAUGUAAAGAGCCAGAUAGUAAGUGAAUGUAAGCAACCUGCAUGAUCUCUAUUACGACUGUUCAC